AACGUCUCCUCUUCUGAGUUAUGAAUGCAUAUCCUCGAGUACAAAAUCUCGGAUAUGACUUCACAACAAAGUUUGGUCCAAUGACCAUCUCACGUAUCCAAUCGUCAAAUGUUUCACCUCUGGCUAAACCAGCAGACACCUAUUAAUAUCACAUAUAUAUGUUAUAUCAAUAAAUGUGAAUUAGUAUAAAUAUGUGAUAAAUUAUAUUUUAAUUUGUUUAAAGCACUCACAUAAGUAAACGUCCAGCCAGCAAAUUCUCUCUUCUUCAUUUCUUCUAGUUUGUCCUCUGUGGCGUAUCUAUAUUCGAACCGCUUUUCUGCCAUGAA
RNAcentral lists this long non-coding RNA (326 nucleotides) under Brassica napus (rape). RNAcentral describes it as "long non-coding RNA (BNAP_LNC016135)". Lineage: Eukaryota; Viridiplantae; Streptophyta; Magnoliopsida; Brassicales; Brassicaceae. The record is from RNAcentral.